Molecule: ribosomal RNA, 459 nt
Filed under: uncultured bacterium
Lineage: Bacteria
Description: bacterial SSU rRNA
Rfam family: Bacterial small subunit ribosomal RNA
Source: RNAcentral
AUUGAACGCUGGCGGCAUGCCUUACACAUGCAAGUCGAACGGUAACAGGUCUUCGGAUGCUGACGAGUGGCGAACGGGUGAGUAAUAUAUCGGAACGUGCCCAGUCGUGGGGGAUAACGCAGCGAAAGCUGUGCUAAUACCGCAUACGAUCUAUGGAUGAAAGCGGGGGAUCGCAAGACCUCGCGCGAUUGGAGCGGCCGAUAUCAGAUUAGGUAGUUGGUGGGGUAAAGGCCCACCAAGCCAACGAUCUGUAGCUGGUCUGAGAGGACGACCAGCCACACUGGAACUGAGACACGGUCCAGACUCCUACGGGAGGCAGCAGUGGGGGAUAUUGCACAAUGGAGGAAACUCUGAUGCAGCGACGCCGCGUGAGGGAAGAAGGCCUUCGGGUUGUAAACCUCAGUAGUCAGGGACGAAGAAAUGACGGUACCUGAAGAGUAAGCUCCGGCUAACUACGUG